CAAAAGCCUGGUCCUGACUUUAC
Molecule: ribosomal RNA, 23 nt
Filed under: Anguilla marmorata (giant mottled eel)
Lineage: Eukaryota; Metazoa; Chordata; Actinopteri; Anguilliformes; Anguillidae
Description: partial 12S ribosomal RNA
Source: RNAcentral